RNAcentral lists this ribosomal RNA (237 nucleotides) under uncultured bacterium. Its description in RNAcentral is "partial 16S ribosomal RNA". It matches the Rfam family "Bacterial small subunit ribosomal RNA", at positions 535 to 769 of the family's 1533-position model. The record is from RNAcentral.
GUAGCGUUGUUCGGAGUUACUGGGCGUAAAGCGCAUGUAGGCGGACAUUUAAGUCAGGGGUGAAAUCCCGGGGCGUCAACCUCGGAACUGCCUUUGAUACUGGGUGUCUAAGAGUGUGGAAGAGGUAAGUGGAAUUCCGAGUGUAGAGGUGAAAUUCGUAGAUAUUCGGAGGAACACCAGUGGCGAAGGCGGCUUACUGGUCCAUUACUGACGCUGAGGUGCGAAAGCGUGGGGAGC